AUCUACACUAAUAAAAGUAAGAUGCGGAGCCCAGAGUGACAGUUUUCCUUGAUGGUCAGCCAUUCUGUUUGCUGUAACCGAUCUGCAACAUUUCAGGAAAAGACAAUG
Molecule: small nucleolar RNA, 108 nt
Organism: Eptesicus fuscus (big brown bat)
Lineage: Eukaryota; Metazoa; Chordata; Mammalia; Chiroptera; Vespertilionidae
Source: RefSeq, a predicted model, not a curated record